This is a non-coding RNA of Rhododendron simsii, 74 nucleotides long. Lineage: Eukaryota; Viridiplantae; Streptophyta; Magnoliopsida; Ericales; Ericaceae. The record is from the annotation of a GenBank genome assembly.
AGUGAUGCAGCCCAAUUUGGUAGCGCAUUUGUUUCAGGCACAAAAUGUCGCGGGUUCAAAUCCUGUCAUCCCUA